RNAcentral lists this RNase P RNA (394 nucleotides) under Mucilaginibacter sp. RNAcentral describes it as "RNase P RNA component class A". It matches the Rfam family "Bacterial RNase P class A". From Rfam's summary of the family: Ribonuclease P (RNase P) is a ubiquitous endoribonuclease, found in archaea, bacteria and eukarya as well as chloroplasts and mitochondria. The record is from RNAcentral. Lineage: Bacteria; Pseudomonadati; Bacteroidota; Sphingobacteriia; Sphingobacteriales; Sphingobacteriaceae.
AUUGCAAAACGUUCUAUCGCUCCCGGCGCUUUGUUUGGGAGAGGAAAGUCCGGGCAACACAGAGCAUCCUGCUUCCUAACGGGAAGGCGCCGGCAGCCGGCGACAGCAAGUGCCACAGAAAAUAUACCGCCCUGAGUAAUUGGGGUAAGGGUGAAAACGUGAGGUAAGAGCUCACGGCUUUCCCGGGCGACCGGGAUCGCGGUAAACCUCAGGAGUUGAAAAACCAAAUAGGUCCCGGAAGCGGAGCUGCUCGUUUCCGUAUCCGCCAACAGGCGGAUCGCCGGGAUGGGUAGGUUGCUUGAACCUGUCAGCAAUGGCAGGGCCAGAUUAAUGAUAGAAACCAUGCCCGUUAAAAGGCAUGGAACAGAACCCGGCUUACAGGUUUGCUGCUGCA